RNAcentral lists this ribosomal RNA (800 nucleotides) under uncultured bacterium. RNAcentral describes it as "bacterial SSU rRNA". It matches the Rfam family "Bacterial small subunit ribosomal RNA", at positions 28 to 861 of the family's 1533-position model. The record is from RNAcentral.
GGUGAACGCUCGCGGUGCGCCUAACACAUGCAAGUCGAGCGAGAAGCUUUUCUAGCUUGCUAGAAAAGUAGAAAGCGGCGAACGGGUGAGUAACACGUUGGAAUCUGCCCCCAAGUCAGGGAUAGCCAUUGGAAACGAUGAUUAAUACCGGAUGUGCUCUUCGGAGUAAAGAUUUAUCGCUUGGGGAGGAUCCUGCGUACUAUCAGCUAGUUGGUAAGGUAACGGCUUACCAAGGCUAUGACGGUUAACUGGUCUGAGAGGAUGAUCAGUCACAAUGAAACUGAGACACGGUUCAUACUCCUACGGGAGGCAGCAGUGAGGAAUCUUCCACAAUGGACGAAAGUCUGAUGGGGCGACACCGCGUGAAGGAUGAAGGUCUAACGAUUGUAAACUUCUUUUCUGAGGGAGCAUAAUGAGAGUACCUCAGGAAUAAGGGACGGCUAAUUACGUGCCAGCAGCCGCGGUAAUACGUAAGUCCCAAGCGUUACCCGGAAUCAUUGGGUGUAAAGGGUUCGUAGGUGGACCUAUAAGUCAGGUAUGAAAGACCGGAGCUCAACUCCGUGUUUGUGCUUGAAACUGUAGGUCUAGAAUCAGGGAGAGGUUAGCGGAAUUCUUAGUGUAGGGGUGCAAUCCGUAGAUACUAAGAAGAACACCAAAAGCGAAGGCAGCUAACUGGAACUGUAUUGACACUGAGGAACGAAAGCGUGGGGAGCGAAGAGGAUUAGAUACCCUCGUAGUCCACGCCCUAAACGAUGAUAACUAAGUGUUGGGAAUUGUCCCAGUGCUGUAGCUAACGCGUU